UACGAGGGGUGCAAGCGUUGCUCGGAAUUAUUGGGCGUAAAGGGUAGGUAGGUGGUCUCGUUUAUCGGGGGUGAAAGCCUUGGGCUUAACCCAAGAAGUGCCUUCGAAACGGCGAGACUCGAGUUCUGGAGAGGGUCGUGGAAUUCCCGGUGUAGCGGUGAAAUGCGUAGAGAUCGGGUGGAACACCAGAGGCGAAGGCGGCGACCUGGACAGAUACUGACACUCAACUACGAAAGCGUGGGGAGCAAACAGG
RNAcentral lists this ribosomal RNA (253 nucleotides) under uncultured bacterium. Its description in RNAcentral is "partial 16S ribosomal RNA". It matches the Rfam family "Bacterial small subunit ribosomal RNA", at positions 524 to 776 of the family's 1533-position model. The record is from RNAcentral.